Dromaius novaehollandiae (emu) is the source of this 785-nucleotide RNA transcript. It is a transcript of the gene named NADH:ubiquinone oxidoreductase subunit AB1, with no coding region annotated. The record is from RefSeq and is a predicted model, not a curated record. NCBI's taxonomy places the organism in Eukaryota, Metazoa, Chordata, Aves, Casuariiformes, Dromaiidae. The transcript has 6 exons.
GCGCUGCCUGCCGGGAUAGGCGCGGGCGGGCGGCGCGGUGCACCCUGGGUAGCAGGUCACCAUGGCGGCCCGUGUCCUCUCGGCCUGCGCCCGCCGCCUCCUGCCGCGGCGGCCCCCGGCGGCGGCGCCGCGCCCCGCCGCGCUCGGCUCCCUCCGCCCCGGCCGCGCGCCGGCCCCGCCGCGCUCGGUCCCGCUGCCGCAGGUGGCCGUGACGGCGGGGCCGCUCUGUCGCCGCUUCUCCGACCUGCCGCCCCUGACCUUGGAGGGCAUCAAGGACCGCGUCCUCUACGUCCUCAAGCUGUACGACAAGAUCGACCCGAACAAGCUCACAGCUGAAUCCCAUUUCAUGAAAGAUCUGGGUUUGGACAGUUUGGACCAAGUGGAAAUCAUCAUGGCUAUGGAAGACGAGUUUGGAUUUGAAAUUCCUGAUGCAGAUGCAGAAAAGUUAAUGUGUCCACAGGAGAUUGUAGAUUACAUUGCAGAUAAGAAGGAUGUUUAUGAAUAAAAACAGUUCUUCAAAGCAAAGAUUGAAGCAUGACAGGUCAGUGGGGGAGCUAUGUCCAUUUGCUGCUAUCUCUGUGCCAAGAAUAGAUGGAAUAAAGGAGAUGUCUGUACCACUACGACCAGGCUGAUGUCAGCGGAUAUGAAUAUAAGCGCACAUGCUGUACUGUUGCUGCUUUCGUUGGAAAGUUGUACUGGAAAGUUGUGUUGGACAUUUUAUUUAAAGCUGUCUGAAUAUGUUGGCCUUUAAAAACAGGGGAAAAAGGAAUAAAUAUAUAAGACCA